AGCGCCACCUGCUUCCUGCGGCAAGUGCAUGGCGGCUUCCUGUUUACAUUUUUGAACUCCGCAUGCUUUCAACUUCCAAGCUUGACGCUGUUGUUCAUGACAUUGUGAAAAAUAUAUGGAUAUAUAUGGGUGGUGAUGAUAUUUAGCAUCAUCCGGAAAGUCAAGCAUCGAUAUUUGGUCUACGACAAUUUGCCUACUGGUCAUCAAAGGGCUCGGUACAACGUAAGCUUUGCCUUUUUCUGGCAAUAGAUGCUGGAAUUUUUUCAAAACGCCAACUACACGUGCAAGCUUACUUUGAAGAUGUUCUUUGUGACUAUCCCAUAGCAUGAAUUCAUUAAAGUAGACUCCAAGCAUUCUGUGUUAGUAAUUUCUAUGGCAUUCCCUCCUAAGCUUGCAGAUAUUGAACAGCUGAUGGUGCGACAAGAAUCCCAGUAUCUUCCUUGCUGUACAUUUUGAAACAAUUCUUGAACAUACAAUUUCCGUCGUGAAGUGGUACAUCC
Long non-coding RNA from Rhipicephalus sanguineus (brown dog tick), 500 nucleotides. RefSeq lists it as uncharacterized. Lineage: Eukaryota; Metazoa; Arthropoda; Arachnida; Ixodida; Ixodidae. The record is from RefSeq and is a predicted model, not a curated record. The transcript has 3 exons.